UGCGUAGGCGGGCUAAUAAGUCAGUGGUGAAAUCUCUCGGCUCAACCGGGAAACUGCCAUUGAUACUGUUAGUCUUGAGUUCGGUUGAGGUAGGCGGAAUGUGUAAUGUAGCGGUGAAAUGCUUAGAUAUUACACAGAACACCGAUUGCGUAGGCAGCUUACUAGACCGACACUGACGCUGAGGCACGAAAGCGUGGGGAGCGAACAGGAUUAGAUACCCUGGUAGUCC
This 229-nucleotide ribosomal RNA is filed under the name uncultured bacterium. RNAcentral describes it as "partial 16S ribosomal RNA". It matches the Rfam family "Bacterial small subunit ribosomal RNA", at positions 568 to 796 of the family's 1533-position model. The record is from RNAcentral.